This 662-nucleotide long non-coding RNA is filed under the name Cyanistes caeruleus (blue tit). RNAcentral's name for it is "lncRNA (ENSCCEG00000013400.1)". Lineage: Eukaryota; Metazoa; Chordata; Aves; Passeriformes; Paridae. The record is from RNAcentral.
AAAGUCAUUCCCGGGAAUCUAGCGGCGCUAGAGCCUACAUUUACAGCCUGUGCGCCCCCCGAGCGUGCCAUCGUCUGUCGCCUUGCGGCCUCGGCGGCCGAGUGCUCAGCAUCGCCGGGAGGAGGGGGAGACAGGAUUGAUCUCUCUCGCCUUCCCCUCGGUGUAUUUGUUUGCGGGGGCUCAGGUUGCUUUCCCCCUUUUGGCAAAGGAGAGCGAUGCAAGCCGGCAGAUACCUUGGGAGCGAGGAGGGUAUUUUGGGGAGUUGCAGUGUUGUGCGGAACAUCAUGUCUGUGCCCUGUGGUGCUGUCAGCGGUGACAGAUCCCAGAUGCAGUCGCUACUGUAUGGCAGAUUGAGUUUCUCAGCAGAAAACUCUCUCCCUCCCUCCCAAACGUCUUCAAAAACCUUCUCCAGAUACUGCGGGUCACUUCGGCUCAAACGGGGAGAGAAAGGGGGGAAAAAAGGCUUUUCUUCUCUCCUCCCUCUCUCUUCCUCCCGCCGGAUCUCUCUGGGGUGCGCGGGGGGCUGUGACCGGGCCCGUGUGCACCCGAGGCCCGAGGCGACCCCUCUCACCCUGGUCGUGCCGGGAGCCCGUCGCCGAGCACGGGGACCGUGGUCCAGAAGGAGCCUGUCAUUUUAUCCCGGGGUUUCUCGGAAACGCUGA